RNAcentral lists this long non-coding RNA (383 nucleotides) under Monodelphis domestica (gray short-tailed opossum). Its description in RNAcentral is "lncRNA (ENSMODG00000037942.1)". Lineage: Eukaryota; Metazoa; Chordata; Mammalia; Didelphimorphia; Didelphidae. The record is from RNAcentral.
AUGAUCGGAAACUAAGGCAUUACUACCACACUCAUGUAACAUUAUCAUUUUAACUUUGAUUGCUUUUUAGAUAAGGAAAGCCAUUUUUGCUUGUGACAUUAAUUAUCAACACCAUGAAAAAGGUGUGGAAGGCAUAAUUGGGAAGCAGAUAGCAAAAUUAGGAGUGCUUCACAUUUGGACAAUAAUAUUAUCAAGAGAAGCAUUAUUACAUUAUUAUCCUAAAAACUAAGAAGAUAUGGGAUCAAAAUUAGUCUCUGAAAAAUGCUAAUUUUAUGGCUCGGAACAAGCUGAGUAUCCAAUAACACUCUGUAACACUUUAAAUUGCCAACAAUAUGAUAGUUUCUAUCGGUAGAGGGAGUUUUCCAGAAUUUCUCUUUGGCAAU